Molecule: long non-coding RNA, 1450 nt
Filed under: Phoenix dactylifera (date palm)
Lineage: Eukaryota; Viridiplantae; Streptophyta; Magnoliopsida; Arecales; Arecaceae
Description: long non-coding RNA (PDAC_LNC005030)
Source: RNAcentral
GAAUGAUUUGACUUGGUACCAAAUUCACAAACUGGAGGAAAAAGAAAUCGCUGAUGCAGUAGAUUGAUUUACUUAUUAUUAAAUCUACAACCAUUUGCUUGCUUAUCUUCAUCUAUAUAUUGGAGAACCUCCUUAACUCAAGGGCCCAAAUUUCUGGUACUGAUGCCUUGAAAUGAAUGACUUUUACUAUCUUAUAAUCCCAGCUUGUAACCCCAGACUAAGAUCUUUGGGUUCUGAGGAAACACUAGAGGCCAAUUCACCGGGGGAAGCCCCAUUCUAAACCUUUCUUGUCAUUCAUAAAAGAGGUUACCCUUGUAUAGUGACCAUCCAAACUUUUCCAGAAAGGUGCAAAAUUUUUCAGUUAAACUGCAGCAGAUGGAACAGAGAUUGGAACAUACUCUGUAGAAUACAGAGACCCUCUCUUUCUACGAGGUGCACCAGCUACCAAGCUGUUCCUCUAUCAGAUUCAGUCCUGGCAUGGCUCAUGAAACUAAUGGAGCUGGCUUCCAAUCUCUAUCUUGAAUUAUAGUCAAUAUAUGUUGGCAGUCUGAGUUAGUACUGGGAAAGUUUUCUGCGAUUAUUCGAGUCUCUGAUCUACUUUCUCUAGUGGUCACUAGAUCACAUACGUGGCAUCGACCAUGGCGUCGGUCGGUGCUUUCCUUCAAAGCUUGGCGGUCCGGCGAAUAUGAAAAAGAUACUUCUAAUUGAGGAUGAAGAUGAAAAUGGUCGCUCCAUAUGCAAGAAUUCUCUGAGCUGCUUGACACAGACAAAAGUUAGAGAAUAAGAUGCACUUCUUAUCUUCAAGGAAUAAAUUCCAUAUGCUUGGUCUAUAAAAAGAGGGAGAUGGGAGCUCAGAAACCAAACUGGCCUCAACUCUUCUAAAACUAGCUUCAAGUAGGAGGUUGCAAAGUCUGUACAAUGUCUCUCAGGAGCCGCCGCCACCCACAUCAAUACCAGGAGAGCAGGUCUUCCUCAGAGGAUGAUUACUGCGCCUACGUGACGAAAAUAGAGAGGAAGACGAGCAUGGUUGAAGGGCCCUACUUCCCCCAUCUUCAGACUGUGUUCAAGCAGAAGGAAGUCCAUGAGGAGGAGGAGAAGUCCCAGCCUGGGCUGUUCGGCCGGCCGAGGCAGAAGGAGUGGUUUGAAGAGAAGGAGACAUAUGAAGUCUCUAAGACCUAGGACAUGGCCUUGCAAGGAGGAGAGUGCAUCAGGUGCAAUCAGUUGGUGGCUGUCAAGGAAGCUUAAGCAUUAUCUAUAGUUAUGUGGUGAUAGACAUGCUAUGGCUUUGCACCUUUAUAAAAUAAAUCUCUGGCUCUUCUGUUCUGCAUCCUAUCCAUUUGAAUAAUACUGUAGUUCUCUAGUAUCAAUGAAGGUAUACUUCCAUAUUUUAGCCUAAAACUUUCACUCUUAUAUGUUUCUCAGGUAGAUGUUUGAGAAGUCUAUGACAACC